UGGCGGUGUAAGGAGCGAGGAGCACUGUUUCAGGAUGGAGUCACAGGCAGGGGAAGGAACAGCAGAAGCGUCGAGGUGGCGCAGGAACCUGAAAGGCCCCCCUCCAACCGCAGCCCCUCCCUCCAGCAUGAGCUGAUCAGUGUUUAUUCGCCCAGCUCUAAGCUCCCAGCCCCCGUCCGGCCCAGGGUGGCAGCCGAUGCCUGCGCCCCCACCCAGCCUGGGUCGCAGCUAGGGACCUGCGGGGGGCUGCGGAGCCGGCGCCCGCCCCAGCCCGCCCCUGGGCGGGUGUCUUCCGCAGACAAUAGCCCUGGCUGCAGCGCCUCGCGGACCAGGAGGGAGAAAAACAAGUCGGAGGAGGCGGCAGCGCCGAGCCUGGAGACCCUCGCCUUCCCCAUUGUGCCUCCCCAAGACCCCCACAGCAAACAGUCCCCCCAAUCUCUCCCCCAGAAGCACCGAUCUCAGGCCGCCUCCCCCCCCAAUCCCUAGAGCAGGAUGCACCCCAAGUCGCUAGCACCAUGAAGAGGGGCCAGCGGUGGCCGCCGAUCCCGGGGCGCAGGCCCACGAUCGCCGACCCUCGCGGCCGAGACUCACCCUGCGGGCUGGGGGGCUCCGGCGGAGACUUGCCGGGAGCCCGGGAGGCGCCGCCGAGCAGCAGCCCCAGCAGCGGCAGCAGCCGCGCGAAGACACCGGGGCCACUCGGCGGCGGCAUCGCGGGGCUCGGCCGGGCCCUAGCGGUCCAUCGCUGCCGCCCGGCCCCGCUCGGCCGGCCCCGCUCAGCCCCAGCUCUGCACCGCUCCGCGCGGCUCGGGCUUGGGCUCCCGCUCCGGCUGCGGCGCCCGCUCGGCGCGAUUGUCUCCGCCCGGAGCGGCCGCCAGCGCCCCCUGCCGACGGCUCCCGGCACGGCGGGCCUGCGGGCACCGCCCCCUCGCGGCCCGGCUCAGCCUGCAGCCCACCCGGCGGCCCCCACCCUCCAACUCAAGGCUCCAAACAGCAAUGGGGUGCAGCGAUUAGGGGUAAUAACCGGGUUGGGGUUCGAGAGCUCUUGAGAUGUGGUAUAAAAUAGUGCGUGUGUGUGUGUGUGUGUGUGUAUGUGUGGAGGGGUAUUGCUUACUCCUAAGGGUUGUACUUAAAGAGAGACAGAGAGACUCUUUUCCCACAGGGAAAGGUCGGAAGUGCUAAGGAGGCUGCAGCCUCCAACGUUGGAAAGCUGAUCUGUGGUGGCUUCUAGCCUCUCUCUUCCUCACGCCUCCCAUUCAAAACCAGGCUAGGCAAGACAAGUUUCUCACAGCCUUCCAGUCCAUCUUGUCUCAAACAGGAUGGUCUGAAACUCAGACUGGCCUCGAACUCGUGGCUAUCUUCCCGCUUCUGCCGCCUCUUCAGCACAACCUGCUACCCAAGAGAGGACCCAAGAGAGCUUCCCGAGGGAGACGAGAGACGACACAGCAGUUCUCUCUACAGAAGAGGCAGACUCACCAGAAUUUACUAUUUAACCCCUCUGGGGUACAAUGGAGUCUCAGCCCUUGGGAGAGGUCGCAUCAAACUCAGUGUCGGCUCACCUGCCUCCCCUCCCGCUCCAACAGACCAGUACCCUAGGGACGCCCUCCCCUCCACAGCCACAGUGUCCCUUCCUUGCCAGAACUUGUUCCCUUGUCGCUGGCAGAACUUUCUUUUCUGAACGCUUUGCCUCAUGCAGCCGUGAGGCUCCUUCGUUCCUCAGAUCCCCGACUACCUGACUCCCCUUUGGGAGCUUUGGACUCCACCAGCUCCUCCUCUCCUCCGUCCUCUUCUCUCCUCCCAUUUCCCCCUCUUCUCUCUUCUCCCUUCUCCUCACCCCAUUCCCCUCCUCUUUCUCUGUUUUUCUCCCCACCCUCAAUACAGUAGAUUGUACUUAGGAUCUUGAAACAUACUAGGCUCUUCCAUUGAACUAUGUCUCAGCUUUCUUUUUGUUUGUUUUGUUUUGUUUUUGAGUCAGUGUUUUUCUGUGUACUCUUCUUGGCCAUCCUGGAUUCGAUUUGUAGACCAGGCUGGCCUCAAACUCACUGAGAUUUGCCUGCCUCUAUCUACCUCCCUCAGUGCUGGGAGUGCAUCACUGCACCCCGCUUUCUUUCUUUUUCUUUCUUUUUUUUCAAU
Molecule: long non-coding RNA, 2130 nt
Organism: Meriones unguiculatus (Mongolian gerbil)
Lineage: Eukaryota; Metazoa; Chordata; Mammalia; Rodentia; Muridae
Exons: 4
Source: RefSeq, a predicted model, not a curated record